GUUGUUUUUAUCCCUUGAUAGUUGUUUUUAUCCCUUGAUACUUUUCUCAUUGGGUUCAAAAAAUGUGCAUGCCCUGUAGCAAUCACGAAAACCCAAUUUGGCAUCAAAGCUAAAGAUAUUUAAUUUCCUAAGUGAAACAAUAUCUAGUAUAAUUCACUCCCUUCAUAAGGAAAGAAAACAAGGGAGAAAAAUAGGAAAUGAGUUUAUAGUGUCUUUUAACUUCUCUACCUACUCAUCUGGUACCUUUGUAUGCAUAUCAGGCUCUGAACUUUGCAUUCAAA
Molecule: unclassified non-coding RNA, 281 nt
Filed under: Hevea brasiliensis (rubber tree)
Lineage: Eukaryota; Viridiplantae; Streptophyta; Magnoliopsida; Malpighiales; Euphorbiaceae
Source: RNAcentral